UUUCUGGAGUGAGAAUUCCUCUUCUGGUUACCGGGCCGUAGCUCCCCUGGGAGAGCGCGUGCUUUGCAAGCAUGAGGUCGUCGGUUCGAUCCCGUCUGGCUCCACCAGAUGGUUUGAUCACCGAGAUCUUGACCGUCGUCCGCGAAACAUCACUUCGCAUCCUGCUAGUCUGGAUAGACAGCAGUUUGCGUGUUUUCUGACAUCGUAAAGAGGAGAUCGAUCCGAGUUGGGUCGUGCAGCAUAUCGUUGCGCGAGCCUUCAUUAUCUCCGGAUCAUUUCGGCGCUCGCUUCCAGCCGUGAGGUUGGAUGCGGGUUGUAAAUGAUCCUUUUAGCGAAGCUUGACCGCCUCGCUAUCGGAACGAUCUUACGAAGCAAGCUGGUCUUUCUAGUCAAUGUCCGGCUGCGGAUAGCGUUCAUCGAGGGCGCGUGCCGCAAGGCAAUUCUGCAGACAACAUUCUGCCGAGUGUGUGGACAUUGAUAAUGAGAGCAAUCAAGUGCCUUAAGGGUGUUCGGUGGAUGCCUUGGCGCUGAGAGGCGAUGAAGGACGUGCUACGCUGCGAUAAGCCGUGGGGAGCUGCGAAGAAGCUUUGAUCCGCGGAUUUCCGAAUGGGAA
This 613-nucleotide unclassified non-coding RNA is filed under the name uncultured Bradyrhizobium sp. RNAcentral describes it as "partial 16S-23S ribosomal RNA intergenic spacer". The stretch from base 489 to 613 matches the Rfam family "Bacterial large subunit ribosomal RNA", at positions 1 to 124 of the family's 2925-position model. The record is from RNAcentral. Lineage: Bacteria; Pseudomonadati; Pseudomonadota; Alphaproteobacteria; Hyphomicrobiales; Nitrobacteraceae.